Molecule: non-coding RNA, 90 nt
Organism: Meloidogyne enterolobii
Lineage: Eukaryota; Metazoa; Nematoda; Chromadorea; Rhabditida; Meloidogynidae
Source: the annotation of a GenBank genome assembly
GUCAUGUUCUCACAUGAGGAGUCGUAGCUCAGUGGCAGAGCAAUUGACUGCAGAUCAAUAGGUCACCGGUUCAAAUCCGGUCGGCUCCUA